Molecule: unclassified non-coding RNA, 540 nt
Filed under: Candida tropicalis
Lineage: Eukaryota; Fungi; Ascomycota; Pichiomycetes; Serinales; Debaryomycetaceae
Description: sequence contains 18S rRNA gene, ITS1, 5.8S rRNA gene, ITS2, 28S rRNA gene
Rfam family: 5.8S ribosomal RNA (bases 185-338)
Source: RNAcentral
AGUCGUAACAAGGUUUCCGUAGGUGAACCUGCGGAAGGAUCAUUACUGAUUUGCUUAAUUGCACCACAUGUGUUUUUUAUUGAACAAAUUUCUUUGGUGGCGGGAGCAAUCCUACCGCCAGAGGUUAUAACUAAACCAAACUUUUUAUUUACAGUCAAACUUGAUUUAUUAUUACAAUAGUCAAAACUUUCAACAACGGAUCUCUUGGUUCUCGCAUCGAUGAAGAACGCAGCGAAAUGCGAUACGUAAUAUGAAUUGCAGAUAUUCGUGAAUCAUCGAAUCUUUGAACGCACAUUGCGCCCUUUGGUAUUCCAAAGGGCAUGCCUGUUUGAGCGUCAUUUCUCCCUCAAACCCCCGGGUUUGGUGUUGAGCAAUACGCUAGGUUUGUUUGAAAGAAUUUAACGUGGAAACUUAUUUUAAGCGACUUAGGUUUAUCCAAAACGCUUAUUUUGCUAGUGGCCACCACAAUUUAUUUCAUAACUUUGACCUCAAAUCAGGUAGGACUACCCGCUGAACUUAAGCAUAUCAAUAAGCGGAGGA